AGACCCGAAACCCGGUGAUCUAGCCAUGGGCAGGUUGAAGGUUGGGUAACACUAACUGGAGGACCGAACCGACUAAUGUUGAAAAAUUAGCGGAUGACCUGUGGCUGGGGGUGAAAGGCCAAUCAAACCGGGAGAUAGCUGGUUCUCCCCGAAAGCUAUUUAGGUAGCGCCUCGUGAAUUCAUCUCCGGGGGUAGAGCACUGUUUCGGCUAGGGGGCCAUCCCGGCUUACCAACCCGAUGCAAACUGCGAAUACCGGAGAAUGUUAUCACGGGAGACACACGGCGGGUGCUAACGUCCGUCGUGAAGAGGGAAACAACCCAGACCGCCAGCUAAGGUCCCAAAGUCAUGGUUAAGUGGGAAACGAUGUGGGAAGGCCCAGACAGCCAGGAUGUUGGCUUAGAAGCAGCCAUCAUUUAAAGAAAGCGUAAUAGCUCACUGGUCGAGUCGGCCUGCGCGGAAGAUGUAACGGGGCUAAACCAUGCACCGAAGCUGCGGCAGCGAACGUAUCACUUAAAGCGAUUCAGCGGGUUACGAUUGACGGAGCGAAGCGACGUCAAAGCGUAUACAAAGUCGAGUCGGUUUAAGGAUACGUUCGUUGGGUAGGGGAGCGUUCUGUAAGCCCGUGAAGGUGGCCUGUGAGGGUUGCUGGAGGUAUCAGAAGUGCGAAUGCUGACAUAAGUAACGAUAAAGCGGGUGAAAAGCCCGCUCGCCGGAAGACCAAGGGUUCCUGUCCAACGUUAAUCGGGGCAGGGUGAGUCGACCCCUAAGGCGAGGCCGAAAGGCGUAGUCGAUGGGAAACGGGUUAAUAUUCCCGUACUUGGUGUUACUGCGAAGGGGGGACGGAGAAGGCUAUGUUGGCCGGGCGACGGUUGUCCCGGUUUAAGCGUGUAGGUGUGUGUUCCAGGUAAAUCCGGUUCACUUUAACACUGAGGCGUGACGACGAGGCACUACGGUGCUGAAGCAACAAAUGCCCUGCUUCCAGGAAAAGCCUCUAAGCAUCAGGUAACAUCAAAUCGUACCCCAAACCGACACAGGUGGUCA
This 1042-nucleotide ribosomal RNA is filed under the name Salmonella enterica subsp. enterica serovar Saintpaul. RNAcentral describes it as "partial 23S ribosomal RNA". It matches the Rfam family "Bacterial large subunit ribosomal RNA", at positions 711 to 1669 of the family's 2925-position model. The record is from RNAcentral. Lineage: Bacteria; Pseudomonadati; Pseudomonadota; Gammaproteobacteria; Enterobacterales; Enterobacteriaceae.